RNAcentral lists this ribosomal RNA (487 nucleotides) under uncultured bacterium. RNAcentral's name for it is "SSU rRNA". It matches the Rfam family "Bacterial small subunit ribosomal RNA", at positions 26 to 524 of the family's 1533-position model. The record is from RNAcentral.
AGGACGAACGCUGGCGGCGUGCCUAACACAUGCAAGUCGAACGCGCUCCAUUCGGUAGCAAUACUGAUGAAGAGCGAGUGGCGAACGGGUGAGUAGCACGUGAGCAACCUGCCCCGAAGACCGGGACAACACCGGGAAACCGGUGCUAAUACCGGAUAUCCCUAUCGGACCGCAUGAUCUGAUAAGGAAAUGGAUUCCGCUUCGGGAGGGGCUCGCGGCCUAUCAGCUAGUUGGUGAGGUAACGGCCCACCAAGGCAUCGACGGGUAGCUGGUCUGAGAGGACGAUCAGCCACACUGGGACUGAGACACGGCCCAGACUCCUACGGGAGGCAGCAGUGGGGAAUCUUGCGCAAUGGGCGAAAGCCUGACGCAGCAACGCCGCGUGGAGGACGAAGGCUUUCUGAGUUGUAAACUCCUUUCAGCAGGGACGAUAGUGACGGUACCUGCAGAGAAGCACCGGCAACUACGUGCCAGCAGCCGCGGUAAC